Molecule: ribosomal RNA, 325 nt
Filed under: uncultured eukaryote
Lineage: Eukaryota
Description: partial 18S ribosomal RNA
Rfam family: Eukaryotic small subunit ribosomal RNA
Source: RNAcentral
CAAUAGCGUAUAUUAAAGUUGUUGCAGUUAAAAAGCUCGUAGUCGGAUAUCUGCUAUUGGCAGGGGGACAUCUUCGCUGAUUGUCACUUGUUUGCUGUGGCAUACAUUCGUUGGUCGUGUGCUUGAGUGCGCAUGACAAUUGGAUCAUUUACUUUGACUAAACUAGAGUGUUUCAAGCAAGUGCCUGCUAUGAAUACUGCAGCAUGGAAUAAUAAAUAGGACAUUGGUUCAAUUUUGUUGGUUUCGAGACCCAGCUAGAGGUGAAAUUCUUAGAUUUGUUGAAGACGAACUACAGCGAAAGCAUUUGCCAAGGAUGUUUUCAUUG